UAUCAAGUAUUUAUUAUAUUGUGACUCUAGAUGUCUCUUCAAUUCUCCACCGCCUCCGCUUUCCACCGUCGCAGCCACCACCGCUGUUGCAGCCUUCGUCCACCUCCGCGACCGCACCUCCGCCUCAGCCACCGCUCUAUCGCCUUUGCCCCAGCCACCGCUCCAGCCGUCGUCCCUCUCCCUUUAUCUCUCACUCUCACACCUCUGCCUCCAGCGCCACCGCGACGCCUCCACUGCGAUGCCUCUACAGCCGCCGACUCUCACUAUCACUCUCUCAGAUCGACCGAGACCAAAGGCUCAAAGGGUAAUAGGAUCUCAGUCCUUACUAUUUGCUGCAGGCUUAAGACCUACCCCUGCACAAGCAACUGCUGUGAGCUAGAUACUAAAAGAUGGGAUGCAGCAUGUGAGAAAGAUUAUAUGUAGCAACUUAGGUGCAAGAAUGGACUCUACCUGAGCCUAAACGAUGGCGAAUUUUAGCUGAUGUUCUUUAUGACCUCGGCACUGGUUUAGAAGUUUUAUCUCCUUUGUGUCCUCACCUGUUUCUUGAGAUGGCUGGCCUUGGCAAUUUUGCAAAGGGUCAUUUUAUAAGAUAAUCUGGUCUGCAAUGAAGUCCUAUAGGCUGUCAGUGGUUGAUAAACUAAAAACUCGCCCUCGCAUUGAUUUCUCUUUCCAUUUCAGCACGGUGGGACUCUUAUUUGUUUGGCAGCAUAAUUUUUGAAAUUUAUAUAAUACGGAGUACUUGCCAUUAAAUUGAUUUAUUCAACUAAUAUUCAAAAUGUUUAAGGUUCAGCCCAUUGUUAAUGAUGUUCGUAGUAGAGGGGAUGUUGCAGUAAAAAAUUUAGUGCUUGUUUUGCAUUUAUAUCUUUCUUUUAUUUAUCUCAUAUGUGUUUGGGGGGCUUGGAUUUCAGUUAUUUACUAUUGCCUAUGUGUUACAUUGUCUCUUAAUUCUCAACUGUAGCUAAAAUAGAAAUAAAUAAAACUUAGUUGAAACUUGAAAGAAUCGAACUUGCCAGGGUAAGAAAAUUAGUACUCUUAAAAUUUUUGAAGUUCCCAAGUAGAGCCUUUAAAUACAUAAUUUCUUUAGAAUUACUUAUGUCAUAGAUAAAAUUAUGCUUAACCUAUGUAAAAAGUUUAUCUAAUUGUUGGUUGUACUUACGUGCUCUAAUACAUGUUGCGUGCAGGGCAGGUGCACCAGUAGUAUUUAAGUGUGUAAGUAUUGAUGCAAAAUGUACCCUUCUAGUUUUUGUAUACUCUGUACUUGAUAAGAUGUUGAACCUGUUAUUAAUAACUUACAAUAUAUUAAUUUUUUAUUGUAAGCUUUAUAUAUUGUUAAAUGAAACUAUUGUGGUUUAAUUUGAUGAUA
This is an RNA transcript of Ipomoea triloba (trilobed morning glory), 1363 nucleotides long. RefSeq lists it as uncharacterized. NCBI's taxonomy places the organism in Eukaryota, Viridiplantae, Streptophyta, Magnoliopsida, Solanales, Convolvulaceae. The transcript has 6 exons. The record is from RefSeq and is a predicted model, not a curated record.